Molecule: transfer RNA, 87 nt
Filed under: compost metagenome
Description: tRNA-Ser
Rfam family: tRNA
About the family: Transfer RNA (tRNA) molecules are approximately 80 nucleotides in length. Their secondary structure includes four short double-helical elements and three loops (D, anti-codon, and T loops). Further hydrogen bonds mediate the characteristic L-shaped molecular structure. tRNAs have two regions of fundamental functional importance: the anti-codon, which is responsible for specific mRNA codon recognition, and the 3' end, to which the tRNAs corresponding amino acid is attached (by aminoacyl-tRNA synthetases). tRNAs cope with the degeneracy of the genetic code in two manners: having more than one tRNA (with a specific anti-codon) for a particular amino acid; and 'wobble' base-pairing, i.e. permitting non-standard base-pairing at the 3rd anti-codon position.
Source: RNAcentral
GCCCCGGUGGUGAAACACUGGUAGACACGCUGGCUUCAGGAGCCAGUGCCGCAAGGCGUGAGGGUUCAAGUCCCUCCUGGGGCACCA